AGAGUUUGAUCCUGGCUCAGGAUGAACGCUGGCGGUAUGCUUAACACAUGCAAGUCGAACGGUCUCUUCGGAGAUAGUGGCGGACGGGUGAGUAACGCGUAAGAAUCUACCUAUAGGUUCGGGACAACAGUUAGAAAUGACUGCUAAUACCGGAUAUGCCUUCGGGUGAAAGUUUUAAUGCCUGUAGAUGAGCUUGCGUCCGAUUAGCUAGAUGGAGUGGUAACGGCACACCAUGGCGACGAUCGGUAACUGGUCUGAGAGGAUGACCAGUCACACUGGAACUGAGACACGGUCCAGACUCCUACGGGAGGCAGCAGUGGGGAAUUUUCCGCAAUGGGCGAAAGCCUGACGGAGCAAUACCGCGUGAGGGACGAAGGUCUGUGGAUUGUAAACCUCUUUUGUUAGGGAAGAUAAUGACGGUACCUAACGAAUAAGCAUCGGCUAACUCCGUGCCAGCAGCCGCGGUAAGACGGAGGAUGCAAGCGUUAUCCGGAAUUAUUGGGCGUAAAGCGUACGUAGGCUGUUAGAUAAGUCUGUUGUCAAAGAGCGAGGCUUAACCUCGUAAAGGCAAUGGAAACUGUCUGACUAGAGAGAGAAAGGGGCAGGAGGAAUUCCAGGUGUAGCGGUGAAAUGCGUAGAUAUCUGGAAGAACACCAGUGGCGAAAGCGUCCUGCUGGAUCUCAACUGACGCUGAAGUACGAAAGCUAGGGGAGCGAAUGGGAUUAGAUACCCCAGUAGUCCUAGCCGUAAACGAUGGGUACUAGGUGUUGGCCGUAUCGACCCGGUCAGUGCCGUAGCUAACGCGUUAAGUACCCCGCCUGGGGAGUACGGUCGCAAGAUUGAAACUCAAAGGAAUUGACGGGGGCCCGCACAAGCGGUGGAGUAUGUGGUUUAAUU
RNAcentral lists this ribosomal RNA (897 nucleotides) under uncultured cyanobacterium. RNAcentral describes it as "bacterial SSU rRNA". It matches the Rfam family "Bacterial small subunit ribosomal RNA", at positions 8 to 951 of the family's 1533-position model. The record is from RNAcentral. Lineage: Bacteria; Bacillati; Cyanobacteriota.